GAGAUAUUGCUCGGUUGGUCGGGCGCUUGCUUUACAGGCAAGGGGUUAGGAGUUCGAAGCUCUCCGUCUCCA
This 72-nucleotide transfer RNA is filed under the name [Clostridium] asparagiforme DSM 15981. RNAcentral describes it as "tRNA-Val". The record is from RNAcentral. Lineage: Bacteria; Bacillati; Bacillota; Clostridia; Lachnospirales; Lachnospiraceae.